CCUCGUUCACCGCGAGGAAGCAGAUGUUAAGGAGCUUUAUGCGUUUUGCCCUCAGGGCAGAGAAGAACGGCAGGAGUUGGAGCCAUCCUACAGCCAUGGAUGGCUAGUGGGGAACUGCAGCACAGAGGAGGCAAAAUGCUAUCACAGAUACCAGAGAAGUGAUUUCACAUAGUUCCAGCCCAGCAAAGGACGUACCUUCUGGUCUCUGGGAGUAGCUCCAGGACUCUGCUCCAGUGCUCUUCUCCCCCUUAAGUACUUACAGCUUCAGCAGCUUCAAACUGCAUAGUCUAGUUCAAAGUGUGAAUGUUGUUAACCAGCCCAUAGUGUGGCAGCUCAGUCUUCCUUCAGCCAUUUAUGUUGUUCUUCCACCACCAGAGGCUUCUGAGAAUGUUCCUUUGGCUGAGCUGCCCACAUCCACUUAUAAUACUCUUGACAUGCUCCUGCUGGUACAAUUUUGUUAGAUGUUUCUCAUAUCAGUAUGAAAACACAUCUUCCAAAAUAACUUAGUAAAACAGAACCUUGGCUACCUUAAAGGUGGGCAGACUUAAAUACCCACAUUCCAAAUUCCAUCAAGAACAAUUUCUUAGUGGCUGAAUUAUUAACAGUUUUCAGUGGAAAUUCUUAAAAAAACUUCACCAUAGGUACAUAUUGUCAUUAUUAUUGCAAGCCAUUUCCUCAAAAUGUGGCAAUAUAUGCCAGCACUAAAUAGCAAAUGCAAGUCAUUAUCUGUGUUAUUUUUGGAACAAGAUAAGAUUUUUUUUGAGUGAUCCAUAGCUCCAAGCUAUCAGACGGAAACUUGGCAUUAACCUCUAUAAAGUAGUUAGUAAAUGAUACUAUAAAAUCAGUACUUAGCAGAAGAAUAGCCAGCAUUUCUAACCUGCACAGUGAUAGCACGCUUGUAAAACCACAGGAGGGGAUUCUGAGAACAAGGACCUAUGAUCUGCCGCUUAAGUCUACUGCCUAAUGUGGUUGGGUUUAUAACCAUAUUUGCUGUUUGGUUGACUAAGAUCAGUGAGGUACAAAGCCGACCUGCAGGCAAUCUACGACUCUUCACUGGAAAACUAAAGAGGCAAAAAGGAUUAACACAAAUUAAAUAAUCAGGAUAUUGGCACCCUCAG
This is a long non-coding RNA of Pezoporus occidentalis (night parrot), 1118 nucleotides long. RefSeq lists it as uncharacterized. The transcript has 2 exons. Lineage: Eukaryota; Metazoa; Chordata; Aves; Psittaciformes; Psittacidae. The record is from RefSeq and is a predicted model, not a curated record.